UAGCUCAGUGGUUUGAGCAUUGGCCUGCUAAACCAAAGGUUGUGAGUUCAAUCUUUGC
Molecule: transfer RNA, 58 nt
Filed under: Pelodiscus sinensis (Chinese soft-shelled turtle)
Lineage: Eukaryota; Metazoa; Chordata; Testudines; Trionychidae
Rfam family: tRNA
About the family: Transfer RNA (tRNA) molecules are approximately 80 nucleotides in length.
Source: Rfam by way of RNAcentral